UUCCUACGGGGGGCAGCAGUGGGGGAUAUUGCACAAUGGGCGCAAGCCUGAUGCAGCGACGCCGCGUGAGCGAAGAAGUAUUUCGGUAUGUAAAGCUCUAUCAGCAGGGAAGAAAGAAAUGACGGUACCUGACUAAGAAGCCCCGGCUAACUACGUGCCAGCAGCCGCGGUAAUACGUAGGGGGCAAGCGUUAUCCGGAUUUACUGGGUGUAAAGGGAGCGUAGACGGCGAUGCAAGUCUGAAGUGAAAGGCGGGGGCCCAACCCCCGGACUGCUUUGGAAACUGUAUAGCUGGAGUGCAGGAGG
This 305-nucleotide ribosomal RNA is filed under the name uncultured bacterium. Its description in RNAcentral is "bacterial SSU rRNA". It matches the Rfam family "Bacterial small subunit ribosomal RNA", at positions 336 to 655 of the family's 1533-position model. The record is from RNAcentral.